This 269-nucleotide ribosomal RNA is filed under the name uncultured prokaryote. RNAcentral describes it as "partial 16S ribosomal RNA". It matches the Rfam family "Bacterial small subunit ribosomal RNA", at positions 524 to 792 of the family's 1533-position model. The record is from RNAcentral.
UACGUAGGUGGCAAGCGUUAUCCGGAUUUACUGGGUGUAAAGGGCGUGUAGGCGGUUUUGCAAGUCAGAUGUGAAAUCUCCCGGCUUAACCCGGAAACUGCAUCUGAAACUGCAGAACUUGAGUACUGGAGAGGAUAGUGGAAUUCCUAGUGUAGCGGUAAAAUGCGUAGAUAUUAGGAGGAACACCAGUGGCGAAGGCGACUAUCUGGACAGUAACUGACGCUGAGGCGCGAAAGCGUGGGGAGCAAACAGGAUUAGAUACCCUGGUA